This 77-nucleotide transfer RNA is filed under the name Marinithermus hydrothermalis DSM 14884. Its description in RNAcentral is "tRNA-Pro (GGG) (tRNA-Pro-GGG-1-1)". It matches the Rfam family "tRNA". From Rfam's summary of the family: Transfer RNA (tRNA) molecules are approximately 80 nucleotides in length. Lineage: Bacteria; Thermotogati; Deinococcota; Deinococci; Thermales; Thermaceae. The record is from RNAcentral.
CGGGGCGUAGCGCAGCCUGGGAGCGCACCUGAAUGGGGUUCAGGUGGUCGGAGGUUCAAAUCCUCUCGCCCCGACCA